Molecule: non-coding RNA, 871 nt
Organism: Danio rerio (zebrafish)
Lineage: Eukaryota; Metazoa; Chordata; Actinopteri; Cypriniformes; Danionidae
Source: RefSeq, a predicted model, not a curated record
GCUGUAUUUAAAUCUCAAGAAUUCAUAGUAGCCUUAUGAAUAUAGGCUAUGUGUCAAGUUCCUACACUUUCAGACAAAUCUUGAAAUAUAUGUUAAAUGUACAUAUGACAAGGUUCAUACAGGCACAGCCUAAUGAAAAUCAAGGAAUUUUAAGCACUUUUUCCAGCACCCUCACACACACUCAGCCCCGCCCCGCUACUGAAAUGACGCGCAAGCCAAUUGUAACAGAGCAGUCCUCUCAAGACACCUAUGGAAGUUGUAGCGUGCAGUUCUUUCAAACAGGCUCUAACGUUAGAUAUUAAAAAGAUAGGAUAGAUAGCCCAAUACGUUUUUUUUACAUUUUCAUCAAAGAUGGACCACUUAAUCUUGCUCUUUAAAUUCACGGGAUCUGUUAUCUGUGAAAUGCUGUCAGUGUUCUUUCUGAAUGUCCGGAGGAUGCUGACUUCUCUUUUCUGCUGUGGAGCCAAUAAUGGGAACACAGAAGAGAAUCUGCCUCUGUCUGUUGAGGAGACUGCGUUCACUGGUCCAAUUUCAUUCUUAUGAUGAAGAAGAGGAAAACAACCAAUUACAAGUCAUGGAUCCCCUCCCCUGCUAAAAAAGCUUAAACCAUACAAUCUAAGCUGGUUACCUGGUUUUAGCUGGUCGACCGAGGGCUUUUGGCCAUUUUCAGGCUUGUGUAUACAGAAUGUGUACAUUUAAAUACGUAAUUUCAAAACCAGAACAUUACCAUUAAAAUAUAAUAGUUUUAAGCUUCAUAUACCAAAUAAUAUGCCAUUUCAAAAUGUAUUUUAGGGUCCAUUUUUAAUUUCACAAUAAAAUGGGCAUGGAGGUCUAAAGGAUGGAGGUUUUAACCCAUGCUUGGUCAAAUAUA